UAAGCUUGUUAAUCUAGCAUGCAAGAAAUAAUAUCAAGCAAAAACUAAAUAAUUAAAGCAAGCAAGGAAGAAACAAUAUCAACCCUGAACAUAAACUUUUCUCCAUACAAGAAACAAUAUCUCAUAUGAAAAGAAACAGCACCCAACAGUGUGAACAAUACUCACUGAAAAGAGUCCCUUACCUGCAAUAUAAAAAUAAAAAUAUUAGUACAUAUUAAUAUAAAUAAACAUAACUACAUCUUAACCACACAAAAUAAAUAAUACCAAUACAUAUUAAGAAAAAUAAAAUAAAAAUAAUCCAAAUUUUAGUAUGGAAGAAAUAAUAUCAACCAUAAACUAAAACAAAAACCAAAGGAAGUAUCGGUAGAAACAUGAAAUUCAACCAUAUCUAAUCCUUUAACUCCACUUGAGAAAUUCAUCUCAAAUGACAAGUUAACCUAUCUAAAUUAAAUGAGCAACCCUUCUUUUAAAAUAUAAACCUAACUGCCUUGUACCUUCAAAAUUAAGAUGUAAACCACCAUCUUUAUAAGCAAAUAACUCCAC
RNAcentral lists this long non-coding RNA (543 nucleotides) under Mytilus galloprovincialis (Mediterranean mussel). Lineage: Eukaryota; Metazoa; Mollusca; Bivalvia; Mytilida; Mytilidae. The record is from RNAcentral.